GCGGCAGGCCUAACACAUGCAAGUCGAACGGUAGCACAGAGAGCUUGCUCUCGGGUGACGAGUGGCGGACGGGUGAGUAAUGUCUGGGAAACUGCCUGAUGGAGGGGGAUAACUACUGGAAACGGUAGCUAAUACCGCAUAACGUCGCAAGACCAAAGAGGGGGACCUUCGGGCCUCUUGCCAUCAGAUGUGCCCAGAUGGGAUUAGCUAGUAGGUGGGGUAACGGCUCACCUAGGCGACGAUCCCUAGCUGGUCUGAGAGGAUGACCAGCCACACUGGAACUGAGACACGGUCCAGACUCCUACGGGAGGCAGCAGUGGGGAAUAUUGCACAAUGGGCGCAAGCCUGAUGCAGCCAUGCCGCGUGUAUGAAGAAGGCCUUCGGGUUGUAAAGUACUUUCAGCGGGGAGGAAGGUGUUGUGGUUAAUAACCACAGCAAUUGACGUUACCCGCAGAAGAAGCACCGGCUAACUCCAUGCCAGCAGCCGCGGUAAUACGGAGGGUGCAAGCGUUAAUCGGAAUUACUGGGCGUAAAGCGCACGCAGGCGGUCUGUCAAGUCGGAUGUGAAAUCCCCGGGCUCAACCUGGGAACUGCAUUCGAAACUGGCAGGCUAGAGUCUUGUAGAGGGGGGUAGAAUUCCAGGUGUAGCGGUGAAAUGCGUAGAGAUCUGGAGGAAUACCGGUGGCGAAGGCGGCCCCCUGGACAAAGACUGACGCUCAGGUGCGAAAGCGUGGGGAGCAAACAGGAUUAGAUACCCUGGUAGUCCACGCCGUAAACGAUGUCGACUUGGAGGUUGUGCCCUUGAGGCGUGGCUUCCGGAGCUAACGCGUUAAGUCGACCGCCUGGGGAGUACGGCCGCAAGGUUAAAACUCAAAUGAAUUGACGGGGGCCCGCACAAGCGGUGGAGCAUGUGGUUUAAUUCGAUGCAACGCGAAGAACCUUACCUACUCUUGACAUCCAGAGAACUUAGCAGAGAUGCUUUGGUGCCUUCGGGAACUCUGAGACAGGUGCUGCAUGGCUGUCGUCAGCUCGUGUUGUGAAAUGUUGGGUUAAGUCCCGCAGCGAGCGCAACCCUUAUCCUUUGUUGCCAGCGGUCCGGCCGGGAACUCAAAGGAGACUGCCAGUGAUAAACUGGAGGAAGGUGGGGAUGACGUCAGGUCAUCAUGGCCCUUACGAAUAGGGCUACACACGUGCUACAAUGGCGCAUACAAAGAGAAGCGAACUCGCGAGAGCAAGCGGACCUCAUAAAGUGCGUCGUAGUCCGGAUUGGAGUCUGCAACUCGACUCCAUGAAGUCGGAAUCGCUAGUAAUCGUAGAUCAGAAUGCUACGGUGAAUACGUUCCCGGGCCUUGUACACACCGCCCGUCACACCAUGGGAGUGGGUUGCAAAAGAAGUAGGUAGCUUAACCUUCGGGAGGGCGCUUACCACUUUGUGAUUCAUGACUGGGGUG
RNAcentral lists this ribosomal RNA (1451 nucleotides) under uncultured organism. RNAcentral's name for it is "SSU rRNA". It matches the Rfam family "Bacterial small subunit ribosomal RNA". The record is from RNAcentral.